UAAUCAUUUGUCUAUUAAUUGUAGACCUGUAUGAAAGGCAAAAUGAGGGCCUAGCUGUCUCUUAUAGUCAAUCAAUUAAACUGAUCUCCCAGUCCAAAAGCUGGAAUAUAACCAUAAGACCAGAAGACCCUGUGAAGCUUUAACAAAACUAUUAAACCAACUAAUAGCUACUUUAGGUUGGGGCGACCUUGGAAAAAAAAAGAACUUCCAAACAAUAUGAUCCUACCUCAUACCCUAUGGCCGACAGGCCAUUAAACCAAGACCCAGCAAAGCUGACAAUUGAACCAAGUUACUCCAGGGAUAACAGCGCCAUCUUCUUCAAGAGCCCAUAUCAAAAAGAAGGCUUACGACCUCGAUGUUGGAUCAGGACAUCCUAGUGGUGCAGACGCUACUAAGGGUU
This 400-nucleotide ribosomal RNA is filed under the name Psammodynastes pulverulentus. RNAcentral describes it as "partial 16S ribosomal RNA". It matches the Rfam family "Bacterial large subunit ribosomal RNA", at positions 1962 to 2573 of the family's 2925-position model. Lineage: Eukaryota; Metazoa; Chordata; Lepidosauria; Squamata; Psammodynastidae. The record is from RNAcentral.